AUUGAACGCUGGCGGCAUGCCUUACACAUGCAAGUCGAACGGCAGCACGGGUGCUUACACCUGGUGGCGAGUGGCGAACGGGUGAGUAAUACAUCGGAACAUGUCCUGUAGUGGGGGAUAGCCCGGCGAAAGCCGGAUUAAUACCGCAUACGAUCUACGGAUGAAAGCGGGGGACCUUCGGGCCUCGCGCUAUAGGGUUGGCCGAUGGCUGAUUAGCUAGUUGGUGGGGUAAAGGCCUACCAAGGCGACGAUCAGUAGCUGGUCUGAGAGGACGACCAGCCACACUGGGACUGAGACACGGCCCAGACUCCUACGGGAGGCAGCAGUGGGGAAUUUUGGACAAAGGGCGAAAGCCUGAUCCAGCAAUGCCGCGUGUGUGAAGAAGGCCUUCGGGUUGUAAAGCACUUUUGUCCGGAAAGAAAUCCUUGGCCCUAAUACGGUCGGGGGAUGACGGUACCGGAAGAAUAAGCACCGGCUAACUACGUG
Molecule: ribosomal RNA, 486 nt
Filed under: uncultured bacterium
Lineage: Bacteria
Description: partial 16S ribosomal RNA
Rfam family: Bacterial small subunit ribosomal RNA
Source: RNAcentral